GCAAGAAUUUGCCGUCGCAAGGUAAUAACAAUUGGCGACUGCAAAAAACUUGCCGUCGCGUUAUCCUGAUUAACUUUGCUCCGCCCUCUUUCUUCUUUCAGUUCUUUGAGCCCAUAACUCCAUCUCGAUCUGAUACCCCGAUGAUUACCCAGAUCUCCUCCUCGUCUCCUCCUCUUUCCAUCACCUCCUUGAGCUAUUUUCCUCUCUAGAUCUACCAAAUUCAGCAGAAUACAACCAACGACUAAAUGACCCGAUUUAGGUCAACUCCAUCGAGUUUAUCAGGAGAUCUACCAACCAGUCGUUCCUCAAGACGAGCUUGAGUCCACUUUAUCCAAGGCUAUUUACAAUCUAGAGAUGUCGAUGAUUAAGAAGAAGAACGACUGAGAGCUAGAGAGACAGAGACAUAGUGUGUGUUUGUUUGGUUUGUACGAAUAGAUAGACGGAUCAAAUGGAAAUUCUCUGCUCAUCAUCUGAAUACGGGGUCAACUGGGUUUUGAUUUCAUCUUAUUUUUGAGAUUUCGUUCCCACCUUUACUUCUUUUCUGAUUCAUUUUUUUCUUAUAUUGCUUUUGCAGGGAAGUUUGAGUAUCUUAGAGGCAAGGGUUGCGAAUUUGUAGGUAAUUGGGUUUUGAUAAUGUUAUGGGCACAAGCAGAGUUGAUGAGGAUGCUGAACCUGUUUUACAAUAUGGACACAGGUAGUGUAGCAAAGUCCAAUUUUCCUGGUUACUUAUCAUCCGAAGCACCAUCGUUACUAUCAAAUCACACUUUUGCCCCCACUGAUUUGAGAAGCUAUUCUUCAGAUUUUCUGCUUAGAGAUAAAUCGUUGGGGUCUGUGCCGUAUGGUGUAGAUGAUAGUGUGGGUAGUAGAGUUCGUUCUGAUUCGGGUGUUGGGGUGACAGCAGGGUCUAGCCUAUAUGAUCCUUUGGAAGAUACU
Long non-coding RNA from Rosa rugosa (rugosa rose), 933 nucleotides. RefSeq lists it as uncharacterized. The record is from RefSeq and is a predicted model, not a curated record. The transcript is spliced from 4 exons. Lineage: Eukaryota; Viridiplantae; Streptophyta; Magnoliopsida; Rosales; Rosaceae.